GGUAGAGCGACCGAAUCUGGUGGUCGGCCCGGUCUUCAAAACCGGUGACGGACUGCGAGAGCAGCCCGUGGCAGGUUCGAUUCCUGUGCUCUACCG
RNAcentral lists this transfer RNA (96 nucleotides) under Myxococcaceae bacterium. Its description in RNAcentral is "tRNA-Sec". It matches the Rfam family "Selenocysteine transfer RNA". The record is from RNAcentral. Lineage: Bacteria; Pseudomonadati; Myxococcota; Myxococcia; Myxococcales; Myxococcaceae.